RNAcentral lists this unclassified non-coding RNA (206 nucleotides) under Hevea brasiliensis (rubber tree). The record is from RNAcentral. Lineage: Eukaryota; Viridiplantae; Streptophyta; Magnoliopsida; Malpighiales; Euphorbiaceae.
CAAACAUCAUGUAGCAACUGGGGACUACGAAGUAUACAUUAUAUAUAGCAUUGCAACUAUCUGAAAGAAAAUAAGGCAAUUCUAAGACAAUACAACAUCAUACACAUAGAUGCCCUUUUCCUAGUUAUAUAUGAAGGGGGGCGGCUGUUUCAGGACACCCCCGAGCUUUCUGUAUAUUACUAAUGAUACCAUCUGCUUCAUUAUAG